Molecule: long non-coding RNA, 216 nt
Filed under: Homo sapiens (human)
Lineage: Eukaryota; Metazoa; Chordata; Mammalia; Primates; Hominidae
Description: long non-coding RNA NONHSAT191103.1
Source: RNAcentral
CUGAGGAAAAGGCUCUGGGAACGCAGCCAGACUCCCCCACAGCUCAGACGGCUGUAAAGAAAUAUUCCUGCCAGAUGUUCAGAGGCGGAGGCCAGCAUGAGGUACAGGCGAUGCUGCCGGAAACGUGUGUUUUCCUAUCUAGGAGUCAGUCUGUCGCAGACCGAUUCCUGGAUCGCCGAGGUCGCCCACUCUCCCCAGAAGCCUGCUCCCUCCCGA